GACGAACGCUGGCGGCGUGCUUAACACAUGCAAGUCGAACGGAAAGGCCUCUUUCGGGGGUACUCGAGUGGCGAACGGGUGAGUAACACGUGAGUAACCUGCCCUUGACUUUGGGAUAACUUCAGGAAACUGGGGCUAAUACCGGAUAGGAGCUCCUGCUGCAUGGUGGGGGUUGGAAAGUUUCGGCGGUUGGGGAUGGACUCGCGGCUUAUCAGCUUGUUGGUGGGGUAGUGGCUUACCAAGGCUUUGACGGGUAGCCGGCCUGAGAGGGUGACCGGCCACAUUGGGACUGAGAUACGGCCCAGACUCCUACGGGAGGCAGCAGUGGGGAAUAUUGCACAAUGGGUGGAAGCCUGAUGCAGCAACGCCGGGUGCGGGAUGACGGCCUUCGGGUUGUAAACCGCUUUCGCUCAUGACGAAGCUUUGUGUGACGGUAGUGGGUAAAGAAGCACCGGCUAACUACGUG
This 466-nucleotide ribosomal RNA is filed under the name uncultured bacterium. RNAcentral's name for it is "partial 16S ribosomal RNA". It matches the Rfam family "Bacterial small subunit ribosomal RNA", at positions 28 to 507 of the family's 1533-position model. The record is from RNAcentral.